AACGAACGCUGGCGGCAGGCUUAACACAUGCAAGUCGAACGGGCACCUUACGGGGGUCAGUGGCAGACGGGUGAGUAACGCGUGGGAACGUACCCUUCGUUCGGAAUAACCCAGGGAAACUUGGGCUAACACCGGAUACGUCCGCAAGGAGAAAGAUUUAUCGCCGAAGGAUCGGCCCGCGUCGGAUUAGCUAGUUGGUGGGGUAAUGGCCCACCAAGGCGACGAUCCGUAGCUGGUCUGAGAGGAUGAUCAGCCACACUGGGACUGAGACACGGCCCAGACUCCUACGGGAGGCAGCAGUGGGGAAUAUUGGACAAUGGGCGAAAGCCUGAUCCAGCCAUGCCGCGUGAGUGAAGAAGGCCUUAGGGUUGUAAAGCUCUUUCAGC
This 386-nucleotide ribosomal RNA is filed under the name uncultured bacterium. RNAcentral describes it as "bacterial SSU rRNA". It matches the Rfam family "Bacterial small subunit ribosomal RNA", at positions 29 to 440 of the family's 1533-position model. The record is from RNAcentral.